Molecule: ribosomal RNA, 492 nt
Filed under: uncultured bacterium
Lineage: Bacteria
Description: partial 16S ribosomal RNA
Rfam family: Bacterial small subunit ribosomal RNA
Source: RNAcentral
AGUGAACGCUGGCGGUAGGCCUAACACAUGCAAGUCGAACGGCAGCACAGUAAUAGUUUGCUCUUACGGGUUGCGAGUGGCGGACGUGUCAGGAAAACAUCCGACUCUACUUUUUCGUGUGGGUUAACGUAGGGAAACUUACGCCCAUACCGCAUAUCACCUACCGGUGAAAGCAGGGGAAAGUCUGACCUGGCGCGAAUGAAUUAGCCGAUUUCGGAUUAGCUAGUUGGGGGGGUAAAGGCCAACCAAGGCGCCGAUUCGUAGCUGGUCUGAGAGGAUGGUCAGCCACACUGGAGGUGGGACACGGUCCAGGCGCCUGCGGUAGGCAGCAGUGGGGAAUAUUAGGCAGUGGGCGCAAACCUGAUACAGCCAUACCGCGUCGGUGAAGGAAGCCUCCGGGUUGUAAAGACCGUUUGUUGGGAGAGAAAAGCAGCAGCCUGAUACCAAGCGGUAGUGACGGUACCCGGAGAAUAAGCACCGGCUAACUUCGUG